Molecule: transfer RNA, 72 nt
Filed under: Mus musculus (house mouse)
Lineage: Eukaryota; Metazoa; Chordata; Mammalia; Rodentia; Muridae
Description: tRNA-Ala
Source: RNAcentral
GGUGGUGUAGCUCAGGGGCAGAGCACUUACCUAGCAGUUGCAAGGUUCUAGGUUCAAAUCCCAGCAUAAAAG